Helianthus annuus (common sunflower) is the source of this 191-nucleotide long non-coding RNA. RefSeq lists it as uncharacterized. The record is from RefSeq and is a predicted model, not a curated record. The transcript has 4 exons. NCBI's taxonomy places the organism in Eukaryota, Viridiplantae, Streptophyta, Magnoliopsida, Asterales, Asteraceae.
AGUGUAUGAUGAUACCGAUAGUGUGUCAGCAAGCCAUGGGAAAAGACGGAAAACAGGUUGUGUGGAAAGCAAACGGGGACAUAACAAAAAGCACAGUGGGAAGAAAAGCAUUGUCGGGGAUAUUUCUGGGUGUGGAAAUAAAAGAAAACGUGGUGAAAGAAACAGCGCCGAUGAUAAUUAUGGCAAUGUAA